ACUCAAAGGAAUUGACGGGGGCCCGCACAAGCAGCGGAGCAUGUGGUUUAAUUCGAAGCAACGCGAAGAACCUUACCAGGUCUUGACAUCCAGUAAAGCCUGUAGAGAUACAGAUUCCCUUCGGGGGUACUGAGACAGGUGGUGCAUGGUUGUCGUCAGCUCGUGUCGUGAGAUGUUGGGUUAAGUCCCGCAACGAGCGCAACCCUUGUUGAUAGUUACUAACGCGUAAAGGUGAGGACUCUAUCAAGACCGCCGGGGACAACUCGGAGGAAGGUGGGGACGACGUCAAAUCAUCAUGCCCCUUAUGACCUGGGCUACACACGUGCUACAAUGGCCGACACAGAGAGGAGCGAACCCGCAAGGGGGAGCAGAUCUCAAAAAAGCGGUCUCAGUUCAGAUUGUGGGCUGCAACCCGCCCACAUGAAGGAGGAGUUGCUAGUAAUCGCGAAUCAGCAUGUCGCGGUGAAUACGUUCCCGGGCCUUGUACACACCGCCCGU
Molecule: ribosomal RNA, 498 nt
Filed under: uncultured bacterium
Lineage: Bacteria
Description: bacterial SSU rRNA
Rfam family: Bacterial small subunit ribosomal RNA
Source: RNAcentral